GCCGGGAUGGUGGAAUAGGUAGACACGCAAGACUUAAAAUCUUGUGGCCAUCUGGCCGUGCGGGUUCGAUUCCCGCUCCUGGUA
Molecule: transfer RNA, 84 nt
Filed under: Algoriphagus sp.
Lineage: Bacteria; Pseudomonadati; Bacteroidota; Cytophagia; Cytophagales; Cyclobacteriaceae
Description: tRNA-Leu
Rfam family: tRNA
About the family: Transfer RNA (tRNA) molecules are approximately 80 nucleotides in length. Their secondary structure includes four short double-helical elements and three loops (D, anti-codon, and T loops).
Source: RNAcentral